GUAGGGCCUGACUGAGUACAAAUAGCAGCUAUCUCAUGUAGUGGAUCCAGAAAGAAGGCUGAUCAUGGCCUGCUUGCUUCUUCUGAAAGCAGCAGUGGAUUCUAGGACCAAGAGAUGUCUGCUCCCUCAUUGUGAUGAAAUUUAGCCUCCAAGGAAUCAUCAUGUUCCCCACGGCUCCUCUUGCAGCUCUGAAAAUACUGCAGGAUCAUGUGUCAGUACUUUCAAUGCUCAUGACAAUACUGCAAAGCUGUGCAAGUGCCAUGCUUUGUCAGAGAUGGCGGACAGCAAGGAAGAAUGCAUGGGUUUGUGAGAUUUUGAAAAGAAGGCACAAAAAUGAUGGGAUGAAGAUGAAAUUAUGGGAUGGAGAACUCUACAUUACGGGAAGGUGAUCCCAUUCACCCUUGCGUGACUCAUUUUGUUCCCAUCAGGCACUGGAAAAACUUCCCAAAUGACCCUGCACUUGAUGAUGUGUUGUCGUGGACUGGCAAACUCCGCUUCGCUGGACGCAAAAGAAAGACUCCGUCACUCAGACCUAGUCCAAGCCUCACUCGUGGGCGGCAGAGAUCCCCUCACACGUUUAGACCAGUGUCAUCGUGCAGCAGUGGGGACGAGCAGCCUCAGCGGUGGCGUCUGAGACGACUGGUCGCAGCUGCCCAGUCUCACGCACCCUCGGGGCAGGAGGGUUUUGCUUUGUGCGUUUCAAAUGAGACGUUUAAAGAAUCUCCCGCAUUCACGGGCUCUCAUCAGCCUGGGACGUAGCCCCGGGCGGACUACAGCUCCCAGCGUGCACCGCUCAUCAGGCAUUACACCCUGGGACCUGUAGUCACCACAGCGAGCCGCACCCCUCUUCACCCUGAGCUCGGCUUCUCUCCACCGACUUCCCCUACGUUCU
Molecule: long non-coding RNA, 892 nt
Organism: Mauremys mutica (yellowpond turtle)
Lineage: Eukaryota; Metazoa; Chordata; Testudines; Geoemydidae
Exons: 3
Source: RefSeq, a predicted model, not a curated record